UUGACGGGGCCCGCACAAGCGGUGGAGUAUGUGGUUUAAUUCGAUGCAACGCGAAGAACCUUACCUGGUCUUGACAUCCCGGAGACCCUUAGGAAACUAGGGGGUGCUUCCAUCUGGAAGAACCUGGAGACAGGUGCUGCAUGGCUGUCGUCAGCUCGUGUCGUGAGAUGUUGGGUUAAGUCCCGCAACGAGCGCAACCCUUGCCUUUAGUUGCCAGCAGUUCGGCUGGGCACUCUAAAGGGACUGCCGGUGUUAAACCGGAGGAAGGUGGGGAUGACGUCAAGUCCUCAUGGCCUUUAUGACCAGGGCUACACACGUACUACAAUGGCCGAUACAAAGGGCAGCGACACUGCGAGGUGAAGCCAAUCCCGUAAAAUCGGUCGCAGUUCGGAUUGAAGUCUGCAACUCGACUUCAUGAAGCUGGAAUCGCUAGUAAUCGUGGAUCAGCCAAGCCGCGGUGAAUACGUUCCCGGGCCUU
This 478-nucleotide ribosomal RNA is filed under the name uncultured Desulfobulbus sp. RNAcentral's name for it is "bacterial SSU rRNA". It matches the Rfam family "Bacterial small subunit ribosomal RNA", at positions 910 to 1382 of the family's 1533-position model. Lineage: Bacteria; Pseudomonadati; Thermodesulfobacteriota; Desulfobulbia; Desulfobulbales; Desulfobulbaceae. The record is from RNAcentral.